Molecule: small nuclear RNA, 107 nt
Organism: Jaculus jaculus (lesser Egyptian jerboa)
Lineage: Eukaryota; Metazoa; Chordata; Mammalia; Rodentia; Dipodidae
Source: Ensembl
GUGCUCACUUCAGCAGCACAUUCACUAAAAUUGGCACAAUAAAGAGAAAUUUAGCAGUAUCCCUGCACAAGGAUAACAUGUAAAUCUUUUAAGUGUUCCAUAUUUGG